This is a long non-coding RNA of Megalobrama amblycephala (Wuchang bream), 1588 nucleotides long. RefSeq lists it as uncharacterized. The record is from RefSeq and is a predicted model, not a curated record. Lineage: Eukaryota; Metazoa; Chordata; Actinopteri; Cypriniformes; Xenocyprididae. The transcript has 5 exons.
UCGCCAGAAUAAUGUGAAACUGCUACGUUUUGGUUGCUAUGAACAAUAUUUUGAGUUAGUUUCUGCAUAAAAAUAAGGUUUGAUUACAUUUUUAGCGAGAAAUAUAUAUUCUAUUUUCAUAAUAUUCACUCAGUGAAUGUCAACCCGUUCUCACUCCUGACCGUUCUCACGCUGAAGAAGUCUCAUUCAGAACACAUCGCGAUAUUUGGCAUCAGUUCGCGUGUGCUGGAUGUUGGUAAGUAGUCGUAAAUACGCUGUUCUAAUGUUUGAUAUAAUGUCUUUUCUGUUUGCAGAUAUUAAUCAGAUUAACGUUAGCUCCCUCAUGUUCAGUCACUGCAUUAUAUCUGUCACCUCCGCUAAGGUUUUGCUUUUCAUUGUUUUCUAUAUUAAAUACUAAACUAGGGUGAUUAAACACUGUCACGUGACGUGCAAUAUAUUGCACAAUAUAUAUAACAUAUUCAUAUCAGGUUCAAAGUAGUACAAGUGUAGUUUCAAAAUGGUAUUUGUUGUAGAAGCACGGUAAAAAACAACACUUACCAUGGUUUUUACCACAGUAUUGGUAGUUUUAAUGUGAUUUUUGUUGUAAAUACAGAGUAACCACAACACUUAUCAUGCUUUUAAUGCCUAAUAAUGUUAAAUCCAAAAACUGUAAGGUCAAUAAGAACUUCUUUCCUAUAUAUAUUUAUAUAUAAACCUAUAUAUUAUAAAUAAUGAUAUUUUCUUUUCUCUUGUUUUAGCUGAAAAGACAAAAAGGGCCUUUUGGAAAUGGAUGAAGGAGACAGAAAGCUGCAAAGGCAAAUAAUUGCAAUGGAUUACUUGCAGAUUACUUAGUCCUUCUUUUUAGGAUCUCUACAACAUCAAACUCAACAGCUCUUUUAAGAGCCGACCCUCACAAGAGCUACUAGUGAGUCGCUGCAAACCUGCCGUGAUCAGCCCUUUCCAGAGAAGGAAGACCAGUCCUUAUAUCAAAGCAAGCUCAUCGAAGUCCUUUGUUUAGGGUGAGGAAGGAACAUGACCAUCUCAUGCCCAAAGAAGACAGAAGUCCAUUGAUAGCAAGUGAAGUCACUAACAGAAGAUCCUAGAGGAAAAACGACUGAUGUGCGGCUACGGAGGAACACAAGAGGCAGAAAUAUGCAUGGCCAUGGCUUCUUCAUGAGUACGACCAGGACUGAAGAACGCCUGACAAUGGGAUGUUAAGACUUCUUCCUCUGGUUGAGAAAAAGCUACAGCACAUCAGUGAUCACAUCUUCUGGUCAUCAGUUGUACUGUAGAGUACAACUGAACAAACUGUUUAGAAGAAGAAGAACAUGAACAUGAUAGAGACAUGUACAGGGAAGAGCAAGAACCCAGUUCAGCUGUGAUAAUGAAUCUUUAUUUUAAACUCAAUAUCAAAUCUGUUUUCUGGAUCGUAGUUGACUGGAUGGGAUUCUGUGGCGCUCAUUUGUGCAAUAGGAGUAAAAUCUGUGAAUGGAUUAUUAUGACGUUAACGUAUUUUUGAAGACACGUUUUUAUUUAUCUUGAAUCUCAUUUGUCUUUAUGCAAAUUUCAACCUUAUGCUGUAUCCUCCAAUAAAGUGUUGUGUAAUAAA